AGUGAACGCUGGCGGUAGGCCUAACACAUGCAAGUCGAACGGCAGCACAGUAAGAGCUUGCUCUUACGGGUGGCGAGUGGCGGACGGGAGAGGAAUACAUCGGACUCUACUUUUUCGUGGGGGUUAACGUAGGGAAACUUACGCUAAUACCGCAUACGACCUACGGGUGAAAGCAGGGGAUCUUCGGACCUUGCGCGAUUGAAUGAGCCGAUGUCGAAUUAGCUAGUUGGCGGGGUAAAGGCCUACCAAGGCGACGAUCGGUAGCUGGUCUGAGAGGAUGAUCAGCCACACUGGAACUGAGACACGGACCAUACGCCUACGGGAGGCAGCAGUGGGGAAUGUUGGACAAUGGGCGCAAGCCUGAUACAGCCAUACCGCGUGGGUGAAGGAGGCCUUCGGGUUGUAAAGACCUUUUGUGGGGAAAGAAAAGCAGCAGGUUAAUACCCAGCUGUUCUGACGGUAACCAAAGAAUAAGCACCGGCUAACUUCGUG
RNAcentral lists this ribosomal RNA (492 nucleotides) under uncultured bacterium. RNAcentral's name for it is "partial 16S ribosomal RNA". It matches the Rfam family "Bacterial small subunit ribosomal RNA", at positions 29 to 507 of the family's 1533-position model. The record is from RNAcentral.